This 392-nucleotide ribosomal RNA is filed under the name uncultured bacterium. RNAcentral describes it as "bacterial SSU rRNA". It matches the Rfam family "Bacterial small subunit ribosomal RNA", at positions 29 to 420 of the family's 1533-position model. The record is from RNAcentral.
AUUGAACGCUGGCGGCAUGCUUUACACAUGCAAGUCGAACGGCAGCACGGGUGCUUGCACCUGGUGGCGAGUGGCGAACGGGUGAGUAAUGCAUCGGAACGUGCCCAUGAGUGGGGGAUAGCCCGGCGAAAGCCGGAUUAAUACCGCAUACGCCCUUAGGGGGAAAGCGGGGGAUCUUCGGACCUCGCGCUAUUGGAGCGGCCGAUGUCGGAUUAGCUAGUAGGUGAGGUAAAGGCUCACCUAGGCGACGAUCCGUAGCUGGUCUGAGAGGAUGAUCAGCCACACUGUGACUGAGACACGGCCCAGACUCCUACGGGAGGCAGCAGUGGGGAAUUUUGGACAAUGGGCGCAAGCCUGAUCCAGCCAUGCCGCGUGAGUGAAGAAGGCCUCGG